GCACAUGGAACGGAUUGCAAGGGUGGUCGGCUACCUCUCGAGAAGAAGGGAGGGAUGCCCAUGGAGGUUAAGGAUGCUCUGAUGUUGAUGAUCGGUUUUGGCGCGCUGAUUGUAGCGCUGCUAACGCUGGUUGUUGCCAUCGUUGCAAUGAUUAACCAAAAAAAAUAGACCACCCUCCCGGCUAGGACUGUGGUCUACUUCUGAUCUUGUCUACUGAAGCCGACCGCCUUUGAAGCGGCCCAUUGUGCUGUUGGAGUCGUGUUGGCGCACGGCUC
This 275-nucleotide small RNA is filed under the name Cohnella sp. SGD-V74. RNAcentral's name for it is "BsrG". Lineage: Bacteria; Bacillati; Bacillota; Bacilli; Caryophanales; Paenibacillaceae. The record is from RNAcentral.